Molecule: ribosomal RNA, 746 nt
Filed under: uncultured Bacillota bacterium
Lineage: Bacteria; Bacillati; Bacillota
Description: bacterial SSU rRNA
Rfam family: Bacterial small subunit ribosomal RNA
Source: RNAcentral
GGAUCCAGACUUUGAUUCUGGCUCAGGACGAACGCUGGCGGCGUGCUUAACACAUGCAAGUCGAACGAGAAGAGAUGAGAAGCUUGCUUUUUAUUGAUUCGAGUGGCAAACGGGUGAGUAACGCGUAAGCAACCUGCCCUCUAGAUGGGGACAACAGCUGGAAACGGCUGCUAAUACCGAAUACGUUCUUUCUGUCGCAUGGCAGAGAGAAGAAAGGGAGGCUCUUCGGAGCUUUCGCUGGAGGAGGGGCUUGCGUCUGAUUAGCUAGUUGGAGGGGUAACGGCCCACCAAGGCGACGAUCAGUAGCCGGUCUGAGAGGAUGAACGGCCACAUUGGGACUGAGACACGGCCCAGACUCCUACGGGAGGCAGCAGUGGGGAAUCUUCCGCAAUGGACGAAAGUCUGACGGAGCAACGCCGCGUGAACGAUGACGGCCUUCGGGUUGUAAAGUUCUGUUAUACGGGACGAAUGGUACGACGGUCAAUACCCGUCGUAAGUGACGGUACCGUAAGAGAAAGCCACGGCUAACUACGUGCCAGCAGCCGCGGUAAUACGUAGGUGGCAAGCGUUGUCCGGAAUUAUUGGGCGUAAAGGGCGCGCAGGCGGCGUCGUAAGUCGGUCUUAAAAGUGCGGGGCUUAACCCCGUGAGGGGACCGAAACUGCGAUGCUAGAGUAUCGGAGAGGAAAGCGGAAUUCCUAGUGUAGCGGUGAAAUGCGUAGAUAUUAGGAGGAACACCAGUGGCGAA